RNAcentral lists this ribosomal RNA (916 nucleotides) under uncultured archaeon. Its description in RNAcentral is "bacterial SSU rRNA". It matches the Rfam family "Archaeal small subunit ribosomal RNA", at positions 1 to 922 of the family's 1478-position model. The record is from RNAcentral.
UUCCGGUUGAUCCUGCCGGAGGUCACUGCUAUUGGGAUUCGAUUAAGCCAUGCGAGUCGAGAGGGUUCGGCCCUCGGCGGACUGCUCAGUAACACGCGGAUAAUUUUCCCUAAGGAGGAGGAUAACCUCGGGAAACUGAGAAUAAUACUCCAUAGAUCUAGGAUGCUGGAAUGCACUUAGAUUCAAAGCUUCGGCACCUUAGGAUAAGUCUGCGGACUAUCAGGUAGUAGUCAGGGUAAAGUCCUGACCAGCCUACAACGGAUACGGGUUGUGAGAGCAAUAACCCGGAGACGAUAUCUGAGACACGAUAUCGGGCCUACGGGGCGCAGCAGGCGCGAAACCUUUACACUGCACGCCAGUGCGAUAAGGGAACCCCGAGUGAAAGGGCAUAUCGCCCUUUCUUUUCUGAACCGUAGGGAGGUUCAGGAACAAGAGCUGGGCAAGACCGGUGCCAGCCGCCGCGGUAAUACCGGCAGCUCGAGUGAUGACCGAUUUUAUUGGGCCUAAAGCGUCCGUAGCUGGCCAUGCAAGUCCAUCGGGAAAUCCACCCGCUUAACGGGUGGGCGUCCGGUGGAAACUGCACGGCUUGGGACAGGAAGGCUCGAGGGGUACGUUCGGGGUAGGAGUGAAAUCCUGUAAUCCUGAACGGACCACCGAUGGCGAAAGCACCCCGAGAGGACUGAUCCGACAGUGAGGGACGAAAGCUGGGGUCUCGAACCGGAUUAGAUACCCGGGUAGUCCCAGCUGUAAACGAUGUUCGCUAGGUGUGUCACUCACUACGAGUGAGUGAUGUGCCGCAGGGAAGCCGCUAAGCGAACCGCCUGGGAAGUACGUCUGCAAGGAUGAAACUUAAAGGAAUUGGCGGGGGAGCACUACAACCGGAGGAGCCUGCGGUUUAAUUGGACUCAACGCCGGG